RNAcentral lists this long non-coding RNA (6710 nucleotides) under Homo sapiens (human). RNAcentral describes it as "non-protein coding lnc-SOX5-5:14". The record is from RNAcentral. Lineage: Eukaryota; Metazoa; Chordata; Mammalia; Primates; Hominidae.
GAGAGCAACACGGGGAGCGCGAGCGAGCGGGCGAGCGAGAGACGGGGGGAGAGAGAGGGACACGCGCGCGCACACACACACACACCGGCACACACGCACACACACAGACACACACACACAGAGUGAAAAAGGCGAGCCACCAAAACCCAUCUCCAGUCUCCUCCCGGGGGCCCCCAGCCCGCCUCUGUGCCACUUUGCAUCCCACGCCGGAGGAGGCAUUAACGAGACCGGGUAAGGUGCUGUGCUGGCCAUUGGUGACCCAAAGAUGAUGAAAAAUAUGUUCCUGCCCACAAGGAGUUAGCGACCUACUGGGCUUUCCUCUUGCUGAUGACAUGAUUCCUGUUUGAAUCUGUUGACAAGAUUCUGAAAGCUGAACAGAGAAUUCUGGCACUGCACUGGGUAGGAAAAAGCAUUUCAAGAAAUAGAUAAUAUCAAGGACAUCAGGACACCGGGAGUGGGAGAGAUUGGACUGGGAGACUCAGCAGAAUCAUUCUAAUGGCGAGAUGCUUAUACAAUGAGAUGCAUAGGAGAUCUGAGACGAAUUCAACUACAAAUUCACAUCUCCUGUGUGAGCCAUGGGUGAGUUGAGUAGAAUGGUGGUAGAAUUAUAUGGGUUACAUUAACUACUUAGACUUUGUCCUAUUUUUCCUAUAUGAAAAUAGUUGAAAUUCUCAUAAAAAUGCAUGUAUGAUGUGAAACUGAAGUAUAAUGUACAGUCAGAUAAUUUUGAAUAUAUUUUGUGAAAUAGAUGUUUAUGAUUUAUAACAGCAGUAUUUUAAUUUCUAUGCAGCUUAAAUUGAUGCUUGGAUAGGGGAAAAGGAUGAAGAAGAAACUCAAUGGUAUGUUAACUGAGAGAAUGAAGUAAAGUGGCAUAGUAACGACAGUUAUAAAAGGGGCACUGCAUACCCCAUUGCUGUCAAGGGAUUGUAAACUUCCAGACUGGGCUAAACGAAUGCUGGGAAAGGUCUGUACAGCCACAACAAGUCCUUAGACUUAGGACUUAGAAGCUUAUUUGCAGUAGUUAUUUUAGGAGUUACAGGAUUCUGGGGACUAAUUCAUGUUAACUGAAUUUACAAGACAUAUAUAUAUUUAGUUGAGACAUUUAAUUACCAAGAUAACUAGAAAUCUCAUCAGUAGGAAGGUCUCCUUGGGCUGUUUGUUGCUAUGUUUAUGAAGAUGGUUUCAUGAACAUGGAGGGAGAAGCCGUAAAAUGGUUUUAACUAAUGACCAGGCAUGAUAGCUUAUUCCUUUGGGAAGCCAAGGCGAGAGGAUCCCUUGAGCCUUGAGCCUAGGAAUUUGAGACCAGCCUGGGCAACAUAAUAAGACCCCAUCUGUACAAAACAUUAAAAGUUACCUGGGCAUAACUUUUCCUAUAAUCCUAUAAUUCCUAUAAUCCCAGCUACUUGGGAGGCUGAGGUGGGAGGAUUGCUUGAGCCUGGGAGGUCGAGGAUGCAGUGAGCGAUGAUACUACCACUGCAUAACCUGGGCAAUGGAGUGAGGUCCCAUAACUUUUCUUUUCUUUUUUUUUUUUAAUAAAAAAAAAGAUUAUAAGGCCUAAUAUGCCUUUCUCUCCCUCAGAAGAGUUAAUUCAUUAACUCACAAUAGACCAGAAUACAGAUGCUCCUCAACUUACAAUGGGUGGGUUGACCUUUUGAUAAACACAUCCUAUCCUAAGUGGAAAAUGUCAGGAAUUGAAAAAGCAUUUAAUACAUCUAACCUAUGAACACCAUAGCUUAGCCGCACCUACCUUAAAUGUGCUCAGAACACUUACAUUAGCCUACAGCUGGGCAAAAUUAUCUAACACAAAGCCUUUUCAAAUAAAGUGUUGAAUAUCUCAUCUAAUUUACUGAAUACUGUACCAGAAUCAGGAGACACAGAUGGGCAUUUUGUAUACAUGAUGGGAUGCAAAAACACAAAAUACAAUAUCCGAAAAGCUCUGGCAACACAGUGCAUUGCAGAGUCUUAGUUGUUUACCCUCAUGGUUGCGUGGUUGACUAGGAGCUACAGCUCACUACCACUGCCUAUCAUCUCAAGGGAGUAUCCUACUACAUAUUGAUAGCCUGGGAAAAGAUCAGAAUUCAAAGUAUGAUUUCUAUUGAAUGCAUAUCAUUUUGUACUGUGGUAAAGCCAAAAAAAUUGUAAGUCGAACUAUUUUAAGUCAGGACCAUCUGUGUGCAAUGAAAUGUCAAGGUAACAUACCAGGGCACCUUUUCCAUGGAAAGUGUUACAAAAAUUGAUUCUUCUCCUUUGGUUCUUUUGCGUUUUGGUUUUCUAGAUACUGUUCGAAUAUUUAAAGAGUGCUCUACAAUGUUAAAUGUUUAUUUAGCUCACAGUUUAAAGAACUUCAGUUAGUUAUGUUUUAGUUUCCUUGAUAACAUUUGAGAUAUCUAAUUAGAGGUAACAAGCCCGCUGAUAUCAUUUUUAUGUGACCAACCAUUUCUCUGUCAUUUUUUCUGCAGAUGGUAAAUCCCAUAUAUUUUACCUUGAUUUUGUAUCAAAUUCUAUUUCAGAUGGUUAUAUAUACUGAAAUCGUCCUCCAAUUCUGUUUCUAUCUAUCUGGAACUUGUCAAAGAUGGGUAUCAUGGGGGAAAACAUGGCUUUGAAGACAGGCAGACUUAGAUGAAUACACUAGCUGAGUGAUCAUAGGACUAUUGCUUGAUCUCUGUCUUAGUUUCUCCAUCUGUGCAAUAGAAAUAAUUCAUUCUACUUUAUACAGUAGCAUAUAGAACAAUGCCUGGCACUUAGCAGGUGCCAGACAACUUAGCUUUCUUUUCUAUAAAAGGUUUUUAGGAGGAAAACAAGAUUUUUUUUUAUCUAAAAUACUUUUCACAAGGGUUUUUAACCAAAGGGCCAAAUCUGGCCUACAUAAUGUUUGUAAAAAUCAUAUUUGAAGUAAUUGCCAACUUUAAACAUCAGUAACUGUCACAUAAAAAUCUGUAUUUCUCACUUAUCUUGAAAAAGUGUAUUUUCUGGCACAGAGCUUCCCCAGUUCUGCUUGGAACUCCAGGCAGAAGCUGAGUAUUGGCUGCUGCUUUGGACACAGCAUUUGCUAAACAGCUCACUGCAGUGCUUUGAAUGACUUCUCUAGGCCUCUGCACCUGGAACUUCUUCACUAUGUUACCCUUUUCCUAAUGAAUCUUCAUUUCAUGAUAUUUUCACCAAAGAACAAUAGAAUCUGUAAAAAUAAAUACUUGCAGUGCUUAAAUGGGAAAAAAAAAAAAAAAAAAAAAGUCAAGCUCUUGUUUUGUUACUCUAAGGUGUUUGUACUUUCCAAACUGAAAGUUGGCCGAUGGGAUCUCAAGAUGACACUGAGUGUUUGGAACUGAGACUUCUGUAAAGAAACUUUGUUACUGUGGUUCCAAACCACAUGGACACUCAAUUAAUGCUGUUGACUGAUGACUGUGAAUUUUCAAGUGUUUUCAGUUUCACUGCCUUUGUCCUGGACUGCCCUGGAGAGUGGUAGCAAUGACACACUGUUUGGAAAAUUAAAGUGCUAUGUUCAUCCUUGAAACAAAUGGCAAAGCUAUUCAGGAUUGGUAUUAUUCUGAUGUUUUGGUAAGGAUCCUAUUGAAACACACACACUAAAACAAAGUCCUGGGUCAAUUAUCGCAAUGCAUCUUUUGAAUGAGAAAGACUCAAUGACUGGUUUGACAAGAGCCUAGUGACCCUGUGAGUGUUAUUAAUUUUAUUAUCCCAAGUGGUUUGACAAGAGCCUAGUGACCCUGUGAGUGUUAUUAAUUUUAUUAUCCCAAGAGAAUAACGAAAAUAGGACCUAUUGUUUAGCUCUCAAGCUAAAAUUUUAUACCAUUAUCUAUAUGAGCACUAUCUGAAGAGUCUCCCACAGAAUAUACUUAUGGGAGAAAGAGUUGAGUACAGUCAUAACUUUAAUAUAAAAACAACCCUUUAAAUAUGAAAAUAGUAGCAUGGCUCUAAGUCCAAAAUGUAGAGAGACGAUUAUGGAGAUAGAAACCUUGAGAUCUAUUUCUAGAUUAUCCUGGCACUCAGGCUCCUAUGAUUUUCUGUUUAGACAAUACCCCAUAAAGUAUCACAGUGAAUUUAAACAUCACAUUUGCAUUUUCUAGGGUAUUUAUGAUGAUUUUUCUGAGUGUACUUUCUAGAUGAGACAUAGAAAUAUGGUGGUUAAAAGGGGUCUUUGGAAUUAGAUUGCUUAUAUUUGAAGUCAGGCUCUGACAUGUAUAAGCCAGCUAUGGGAUCUUAAGCAAGUUUUCUACCCUCUACAUUUCUUCAGUUUCCUCAGCUAAAAAAUGCAGGUAGUAAUAGCACCUCCCUAAUUAUGUGAGUGAGAAGAAUGAGUGAGAUAAUGUUAAUAAUCCCUUAGCCCAUAAGAAAGGCCCAAGCAAUGCUGUUAUUUUGUUCUUACCUUGGUUUAAGAUGUAUUUCAAACACAACAUGGAUUUGAAUAAAGAAGUGACCUGUGAUUAUUCCAUUCAGUUACCAAAUCUAAACUAAAUUGAUGACAAAAAAAAAAAAAAAAAACAAAAAACAAAACUUGACUGCUCUGAACAUAGUAUGAAGUACUACAAAUUACCACAUCCUAAAACAAUGCUUUGGUCUAUUGGUGGACAAGUAAUCAUCAGAAAUAAGCUGUUUGUCUAUAACCUGAAGCUGCAGAUCCAGGGACUAGAGUGUUAGGAGGGAUGGGGAAUUCAAAAUAUGGGAAAUCCAGGACAUCUAAGUUCAAGAUUCUCUUGGACUUCCACUUCGCCACCACAUCUUUGCCCCUAGUGCAAUGUAUGUAAGAAAAUACCAGGAACAGGAGCAGACUCCCACUGCAGUGAGGAGCUUGGAUGUAGCAGUGGACUGUCUUCAUUUAAACUCAAACCCUCUUUAGUCCAUGGGUCAUAGACCAUAUGAUUAUUUGCACCAGCCAUACAAUCACAUUGUAGGCAAUUUGCUCAUUGUAGCGGGCUUCUUAAACCACAGCAGGCUGUAAUGACAUUCACAUGUGGCCAAUGAUUUAGUUUAAGACAAAGUACUAUGUAUUUAAAUAUUAUUUAACAUAUACUGUUUCUCUACUCAUCUUUGAAAACUUAAAUGUGUGUGCUUUAUACUGUAAAUGUACUCCCCCACCCCGACAUUUUUAUCUUUGAAUUUUGUUUUGUUUUGUUAUUUUUUUUUCUUCCCCAAAACAGGGUCUCGUCCUGUUACCCAGGCUGGAGUGCAGUGGUAUGAUCAUGGCUCACUGCAGUCUGAACUUCCUGGGCUCAGGCGAUUGUCCCACCUCAGCCUCCCAAGUAUCAGAGACUACAGUCAUGCACCACCACACCCAGCUAAUUUAUAGUUUUUGUAGAGAUGGGAUUUCAUCAUGCUGCCCGGGCUAGUCUUGAACUCUGGAACUCAAGUAAUCUGUUCACCUCAGCCUCCCAAAGUGUUGGAAUUACAGGUGUGAGUCACUGUACCCAGCCUUAUCGUUUAGAUUUUAAUCUCAAUUUUUGCUGUCUCAAGAGUUUCAUUUUUUUUUUAAUGGAUCUUGAUGGGCCUUGCCUUGAGAAGAGAAACUAGCCCACUUCAUGAUAGAGGAGUCAUUGCCCAGUUGGCUGUUCGGGUCCCUUUUGUAAGAGAGGCCCCUAGAUACAAAAUCUGUGGCAUUAGGGAAGCCCUCUCUAGUGAAAACCAUUUUUAUUUUUAGUACAGUCAGGAGAUAAUGAUAAUACCCAUUCCUUAUUUUCUUGAUGUAUCUUACAGUCCAUACUCUGGUCUAAGGCAGUUGGCCCCUCUCGUGUUGGCUCCACAAAUCUUGUGUCUUUGUGUAGAGCCCACUGGAGAUGGACAGGGAAUGAAUGUGAGGAAUAUGGAUAGAGGUAUAUAGAUCUACAGAUAUACACACACAUACAAAUAAAAUAUAUAUGACAUAGAUGAUAUAUAUGUAGUCUAUUUUAUAGAUUAUAAGUGGCAUUUUAUAACCUAAGGAUACAAGGGAUGAGGGUGUGUCUGUGUGUAUUUGUGUAAGACUGUAGAUCUUUGCUCCCAGCGUGCAUGCACUGUGCUUACUGCACAGGAAGCUGACAGUUUCUCCACCCUUGUGGAAACAGAGCUUCUGAGAGUAGAGUACUGCUUCCAGAGAAACACUGUCACCCCAAAUAUCCAUCGUACUUUUUUGGUAUGUCCCAGUUUUAUUUUUGUUUUGGGUUGCUUUUCUCUUUUAUGGGGUUCCCCACUUAGAUAUUACACAAUCCUUAUAGUUGAACUGAAAAUACUAUGUGCAAAACUGCUGGAAAAUUGUUCCCACUACAUGAAAGAUGUUAGAGGACUGAAUAACAUGGAUGCCAAAAAGACAAAAUAUGAGGUGAAGCGAAGGAAUAUUUAACUUUAAUUGCCAUGUACAGUAUGAUUCCAAAUAUAACUAACAAAUGUUGAAAAUAUUUGCAUGCUCCAUGUAGUUUUCGGACAACUCUGGAAUACACUUCUGAGCUUUGAGGUAAGGCCCUGUGAAGGGAUGCCUCAUAAUCAAAACAUAGCUUUUAGUCUCUGUACAUGAACUUCCAGAAGUAUGACUUGUCAAGAAGACUGGCUGCAAGGUACCCCCUUCCUGUUUCUGCACUUUUCUUUUUGUGGCUCUGUAAUCUUGUUCAUUGGGUGCUUGGUGAUUAUUUUCUCCAUUAAGCAGUGUCCCUUUUCUUUUCUUUUUUUUUUGAGAUGGAAGUUCACUCUUGUGGCCCGGGCUGGAGUGCAACGGCACAAUCUUGGCU